This 167-nucleotide long non-coding RNA is filed under the name Polistes fuscatus (common paper wasp). RNAcentral's name for it is "uncharacterized LOC122518084". The record is from RNAcentral. Lineage: Eukaryota; Metazoa; Arthropoda; Insecta; Hymenoptera; Vespidae.
UCUUUGCAGGAUAAACUAUGAUGCCAAAUUCCGUCCAAGAGAAGAAGGAAACGAACCUUAGGAGGACUGAGUUAUGAUAACAAUUCCGACCAAGAGGAAGGGGAUGUGGAUUAGAAGAUGGACCAGAAGUGGACUAAGUUAUGGUAAAUGGUAGUAAAAAAUAAUUA